Molecule: transfer RNA, 86 nt
Filed under: Armatimonadota bacterium
Lineage: Bacteria; Bacillati; Armatimonadota
Description: tRNA-Leu
Rfam family: tRNA
About the family: Transfer RNA (tRNA) molecules are approximately 80 nucleotides in length. Their secondary structure includes four short double-helical elements and three loops (D, anti-codon, and T loops).
Source: RNAcentral
GCCGAAGUGGCGGAAUGGCAGACGCGCAUGGUUCAGGACCAUGUGCCCGCGAGGGCGUGUGGGUUCAACUCCCACCUUCGGCACCA